GGGGCUAUGGGGUAACUUGGCUAUCCUUGCCGGUUUGGGGCCGGCUGAUCCCGGUUCGAAUCCGGGUAGCCCCA
Molecule: transfer RNA, 74 nt
Filed under: Candidatus Woesearchaeota archaeon
Lineage: Archaea; Nanobdellati; Candidatus Woesearchaeota
Description: tRNA-Pro
Source: RNAcentral